Long non-coding RNA from Carcharodon carcharias (great white shark), 1300 nucleotides. RefSeq lists it as uncharacterized. The record is from RefSeq and is a predicted model, not a curated record. The transcript has 4 exons. NCBI's taxonomy places the organism in Eukaryota, Metazoa, Chordata, Chondrichthyes, Lamniformes, Lamnidae.
AAGCUAUGAGUGGAGAUCAGGGUUACUCCCAGGCUGAUUUCAAUCCUGGUGUAGCAAUAUCAUGUUUGCUGACAUAGUUACCAUACUUCAACGGCAUUUCAAUGUGAUCACAGGUGCUAUUAUUAUUAGCAAUACUGACAAGGACUGAAGUUUUAAGUAGUAUCGUUAGACUGACACCAGUCCAGGACCAGCAAGAUACCAUCCCUGUCUACAAUAACAGCACAGCUUAGGAAAAGCUGUUGGAUAUGGUACCCAAAUAUGAUUUUUUUUCCUACACAAACAGCCAAAACGGGCAGGUCAUCACGUUGUUUUACCAGGAACACAAAUGGGGAUAUUUACGCUUUGAAAGGAUGCAUUUUAUUUCUGCUUGCUUCACUCACAGGAGGCAUCAACUCUUGCUGAGUAGAGUUCCACAGACACCAGCAACCCCAAAAGGUGCUAAACUUUAACGAAGGUCAGACAGUAACACUUUUACUGCAACUUAACAGGGUCUGGUCCACACCAAGAGGAACAAGUUUUGUUCGAGGGAGCCAUUGCCUGGGUAACAAGAACACAUUAUGUACCAGCAUUGUAUACAAGUGGCCUACUAAAUAUGAUUCAUUCUCUGUACAGGAAGUAUCCUCACUACUAUCUUCAUGGAAAUUCACUCGAGAAAAAGAAGGUUUCCCUCGACCCUGCUUCGAAGGGGUUGUGCUAGUGCAAGAAAGAAGACACUUUUUAGGAUAGAAGCUUGUGGGGAGAGCUUGGAAAAUGGUAUCGUUUCCUCUACAUACACACUAGUCUACUUGCCACCCUCCAGAUAAUGGGUGAUACCCACUCUUGCAUGUCCCUCUCAGUAUUCAUCUGCAACCUUUGACAUUAUGUUAGAGAAAAGUGGCACUAUCACAAAAUAUGUUGCAACAAGGUGAGACUUGGGGGGCAAUUUUAGCCUAACCAGCACAUCGCAGAUCUAACCCAGCCAGUAAAAUAGAGCAUCAGAGAGGAAAACAUAAUUACUCAACACUCCAGCUAGGCUGUUAUUCAAAGAAAGUGGUUAUAUGUCAUUAACUCUGUGUAACCCACACAACAUAGUUUACACUGGAGGCCUACCAAUUAUAUGUUGAAUAUAGACUUUGAACAUAUGCUUUUUAAGUCUGUAUUGUUGCUUUGAACAGCAAAUGUGACUGUUACACUCUACUGUAAUUUGGUUAAAAACCCAGUUAAGACAGCCAAGUUCACUGUAGUACUGAAGAGGUGUUAGAUUCUGUUGAUUUACUCUGAACUUGAGUUUUACUUUUACCAAUAAAAAAACAAACUGUGA